Molecule: long non-coding RNA, 1036 nt
Organism: Oncorhynchus tshawytscha (Chinook salmon)
Lineage: Eukaryota; Metazoa; Chordata; Actinopteri; Salmoniformes; Salmonidae
Source: Ensembl
GUCGUCCAGUAAUGUGUUUCUGUAGCUACUCUGGUCCAUAAUAAAACGCUAUUAACAAUAAGAGGGUUUGUGUUAGCUAGAUGUUCUGCUUUACACACAAGAAAGAACAAGAAAACACAGUUAAACACAAAAACCUGCCAAUUAUGGCUCUACAUUGUAAAAACGUUUUGCCUAAAGAAGCAUGCUGAAAUAACCUUUGUGACAGUGCAAAUACAUCGAUAUCCCUGGUACAAAACAUUUAGGUUAGCAUUCCGUGAAACAUGCUAGUUCUCAGAAGAGAUCUGAACCCGUCUUAGAGUAGCAGAGUAGCAGCUCUGAGGAGAUAGCUUGUGUCUUUUCUUCUCGGACAAACGUCCUUCUUUAAAAGUACUAGGAGGUAACUACCACUGACACAUACACACAGGAGACAGGAAACAGCUCAGAAAAUUUUGAUUUUUUUUUCUCCUUUUGCUAGAGAGAGGGGGGGCGGUGGGAGGGGACUGAAGUUGUGGUUGGUUAAAGAAAUAUACAUCGUCACAACUGUCCAACACAUUCAAUAAAUAUUGGAGAUGGUACAGGUCAGAAGGGUUAAACACCAUCACAUAUACAAAGGAAGAAUAACAGAAUACAUGUUGGUAUGUGGUGUCUGGAGAUGAGGACAGAGAGAGAGUAGAGUUGGGUUCAGAGGAGAUGGAGGAGAUGGGCAGGACAGAGAGAGAGUAGAGUUGGGUUCAGGGGAGAUGGAGGAGAUGGGCAGGACAGAGAGAGAAUAGAGUUGGGUUCAGGGAGAUGGAGGAGAUGGGCAGGACAGAGAGAGAGUAGAGUGGGUUCAGGGGAGAUGGAGGAGAUGGGCAGGACAGAGAGAGAGUAGAGUGGGUUCAGGGGAGAUGGAGGAGAUGGGCAGGACAGAGAGAGAGUAGAGUGGGUUCAGAGGAGAUGGAGGAGAUGGGCAGGACAGAGAGAGAGUAGAGUUGGGUUGGGUUCAGGGGAGAUGGAGGAGAUGGGCAGGACAGAGAGAGAGUAGAGUGGGUUCAGAGGAGAUGGAGGAGAUGGGCAG